RNAcentral lists this ribosomal RNA (459 nucleotides) under uncultured bacterium. Its description in RNAcentral is "partial 16S ribosomal RNA". It matches the Rfam family "Bacterial small subunit ribosomal RNA", at positions 338 to 795 of the family's 1533-position model. The record is from RNAcentral.
CCUACGGGUGGCAGCAGUGAGGAAUAUUGGUCAAUGGGCGGGAGCCUGACCCAGCCAAGCCGCGUGAGGGAAGCAGGUACAGCGUAUCGUAAACCUCUUUUGUCAGGGAACAAAGGCGGGGACUAGUCCCCGGAUGAGGGUACCUGAAGCAAAAGCAUAGGCUAACUCCGUGCCAGCAGCCGCGAUAAGACGGAGGAUGCGAGGGUUCGCCGGAUUUAUUGGGUUUAAGGGGUACGCAGGCGGCCGGUUAAGUAAGCGGUAAAAGCCCGGGGCUCACCCCCGGCGAGCCGUUGAAACUGGCGGGCUGGAGUUGGAGAGAAGUACGCGGAAUGCGCGGUGUAGCGGUGAAAUGCUUAGAUAUCGCGCAGAACCCAGAUUGCGAAGGCAGCGUACCGGCUCCACACUGACGCUGAGGCACGAAAGCGUGGGUAUCGAACAGGAUUAGAUACCCCAGUAGUC